RNAcentral lists this ribosomal RNA (439 nucleotides) under Mesogonia involuta. Its description in RNAcentral is "partial large subunit ribosomal RNA". The record is from RNAcentral. Lineage: Eukaryota; Metazoa; Arthropoda; Insecta; Hemiptera; Cicadellidae.
UUCUGCCCAAUGAAUAUUUAAAUGGCUGCAGUAUUCUGACUGUGCAAAGGUAGCAUAAUAAUUAGUUUUUUAAUUGAGGACUUGUAUGAAUGAAUAGAUGAGUAUUUAUUUUAUUAAUUUUAUAUUUUUAAUUUAAUUUUUAAGUAAAAAAGCUUAAUUUUAUUUACGGGACGAUAAGACCCUGUAGAAUUUUAAUUUUUACUUUUUAAGGUUAUUAUUGGUUAAUAAUAAUUACUAUAAAAAUUAUAAUUUUUUGUUGGGGUGAUAAAUAAAUUUUUAACUUUAUUUAUUUUUAUUACUAGUUAGUAUUUUUUUGAUCCAAAAAUUUGAUUAAAAGAUUUAAUUACCUCAGGGAUAACAGCGUAAUUUUGAUGGGGAGUUCUUAUUUAUAUUAAAGUUUGCGACCUCGAUGUUGAAUUAAGAUUAGAUUAUGGGGUAG